GUGGGGAAUCUUAGACAAUGGGCGCAAGCCUGACGCAGCCAUGCCGCGUGAAUGAUGAAGGUCUUAGGAUUGUAAAAUUCUUUCACCGGGGACGAUAAUGACGGUACCCGGAGAAGAAGCUCCGGCUAACUUCGUGCCAGCAGCCGCGGUAAUACGAAGGGGGCUAGCGUUGCUCGGAAUUACUGGGCGUAAAGGGCGCGUAGGCGGACAGCUUAGUCAGAGGUGAAAGCCCAGGGCUCAACCUUGGAAUUGCCUUUGAUACUGGCUGUCUUGAGUUUGGGAGAGGUGAGUGGAACUCCGAGUGUAGAGGUGAAAUUCGUAGAUAUUCGGAAGAACACCAGUGGCGAAGGCGACUCACUGGCCCAAUACUGACGCUGAGGCGCGAAAGCGUGGGGAGCAAACAGGAUUAGAUACCCUAGUAGUCC
Molecule: ribosomal RNA, 425 nt
Filed under: uncultured bacterium
Lineage: Bacteria
Description: partial 16S ribosomal RNA
Rfam family: Bacterial small subunit ribosomal RNA
Source: RNAcentral